This 253-nucleotide ribosomal RNA is filed under the name uncultured bacterium. Its description in RNAcentral is "partial 16S ribosomal RNA". It matches the Rfam family "Bacterial small subunit ribosomal RNA", at positions 524 to 776 of the family's 1533-position model. The record is from RNAcentral.
UACAGAGGGUGCGAGCGUUAAUCGGAAUUACUGGGCGUAAAGCGUGCGUAGACGGUAGCGUAAGUCAGAUGUGAAAGCCCCGGGCUCAACCUGGGAACUGCAUUUGAGACUGCUCUGCUCGGGUGCGGAAGAGGGAAGCGGAAUUUCCGGUGUAGCGGUGAAAUGCGUAGAUAUCGGAAGGAACAUCAGUGGCGAAAGCGGCUUCCUGGUCCAGCAUCGACGUUCAGGCACGAAAGCGUGGGGAGCAAACAGG